RNAcentral lists this small nucleolar RNA (105 nucleotides) under Nelumbo nucifera (sacred lotus). The record is from RNAcentral. Lineage: Eukaryota; Viridiplantae; Streptophyta; Magnoliopsida; Proteales; Nelumbonaceae.
CUUAAGGAUGCGUUCUUGCUGUAAAUAUGGACAAACAGCAAUUUGUAGGCUUUAGGUGGGCAUCUGGUGAGUAUUGAGGUGCCCAUAAAGAACCUACAUACACCA